This 97-nucleotide signal recognition particle RNA is filed under the name Pectobacterium cacticida. Its description in RNAcentral is "signal recognition particle sRNA small type". It matches the Rfam family "Bacterial small signal recognition particle RNA". Rfam says of the family: The signal recognition particle (SRP) is a universally conserved ribonucleoprotein involved in the co-translational targeting of proteins to membranes. Archaeal SRP consists of a 7S RNA and homologues of the eukaryotic SRP19 and SRP54 proteins. The record is from RNAcentral. Lineage: Bacteria; Pseudomonadati; Pseudomonadota; Gammaproteobacteria; Enterobacterales; Pectobacteriaceae.
UAUCGGUUCUCUCGCAACACUAACCUGUGGAUUCGGUCAGGUCCGGAAGGAAGCAGCCGCAGCAGGAGACGUGUGUGCCGGGAUGUAGCUGGUAGGG